RNAcentral lists this ribosomal RNA (521 nucleotides) under Lasiodiplodia sp. F2. Its description in RNAcentral is "partial 18S ribosomal RNA". The stretch from base 157 to 310 matches the Rfam family "5.8S ribosomal RNA". The record is from RNAcentral. Lineage: Eukaryota; Fungi; Ascomycota; Dothideomycetes; Botryosphaeriales; Botryosphaeriaceae.
ACCUGCGGAAGGAUCAUUACCGAGUUUUCGGGCUUCGGCUCGACUCUCCCACCCUUUGUGAACGUACCUCUGUUGCUUUGGCGGCUCCGGCCGCCAAAGGACCUCCAAACUCCAGUCAGUAAACGCAGACGUCUGAUAAACAAGUUAAUAAACUAAAACUUUCAACAACGGAUCUCUUGGUUCUGGCAUCGAUGAAGAACGCAGCGAAAUGCGAUAAGUAAUGUGAAUUGCAGAAUUCAGUGAAUCAUCGAAUCUUUGAACGCACAUUGCGCCCCUUGGUAUUCCGGGGGGCAUGCCUGUUCGAGCGUCAUUACAACCCUCAAGCUCUGCUUGGAAUUGGGCACCGUCCUCACUGCGGACGCGCCUCAAAGACCUCGGCGGUGGCUGUUCAGCCCUCAAGCGUAGUAGAAUACACCUCGCUUUGGAGUGGUUGGCGUCGCCCGCCGGACGAACCUUCUGAACUUUUCUCAAGGUUGACCUCGGAUCAGGUAGGGAUACCCGCUGAACUUAAGCAUAUCAAA